Non-coding RNA from Acanthosepion pharaonis, 113 nucleotides. The record is from the annotation of a GenBank genome assembly. Lineage: Eukaryota; Metazoa; Mollusca; Cephalopoda; Sepiida; Sepiidae.
UUACGAUUAUAUCACGUUGAAACACCGAUUCUCGUACGAACAUCGAAGUUAAGCAACGUCGAGCCUGGUCAGUGCCUAGAUGGGUUACCCCUUGAUAAUGACAGGUGCUGUAA